GUGGGGAAUCUUCCGCAAUGGACGAAAGUCUGACGGAGCAACGCCGCGUGAGUGAUGAAGGUCUUCGGAUUGUAAAGCUCUGUUAAUCGGGACGAAAGAGCCUAGUGUGAAUAAUGCUAGGAAGUGACGGUACCGGAAUAGAAAGCCACGGCUAACUACGUGCCAGCAGCCGCGGUAAUACGUAGGUGGCAAGCGUUGUCCGGAAUUAUUGGGCGUAAAGCGCGCGCAGGCGGAUCUGCCAGUCUGCCUUAAAAGUUCGGGGCUUAACCCCGUGAUGAGAUGGAAACUACAGAUCUAGAGUAUCGGAGAGGAAAGUGGAAUUCCUAGUGUAGCGGUGAAAUGCGUAGAUAUUAGGAAGAACACCAGUGGCGAAGGCGACUUUCUGGACGAAAACUGACGCUGAGGCGCGAAAGCCAGGGGAGCGAACGGGAUUAGAAACCCCGGUAGUCC
This 450-nucleotide ribosomal RNA is filed under the name uncultured bacterium. RNAcentral describes it as "partial 16S ribosomal RNA". It matches the Rfam family "Bacterial small subunit ribosomal RNA", at positions 354 to 796 of the family's 1533-position model. The record is from RNAcentral.